GGCAGAACUUCAAUUAACUCGAGCGGGGGAAGACGUGGAAAGCAGACACUGAGCAGGGAAGGGAGAUGGAGCAGUGCUGGAGGCGAAGAAGAAGAAAAAACCCGAGAUUAAGCCCUUCUGGUGCGUGUUACCGACCGUGUUCAUUCGGAACAGCCCAAUAAACACUGCAGCAGGGUGAAGUUGGGCUCCCUUCGAUUCCGAAUCCUCCUCCAGCCCGAUACGCAGAAAGAACCCAACCCGCCGUAGAGAUGUGCACGUAUCUAUCCCGAUUUUCACCCAAAUGUAAAAUGUAUGCAGUGAUUUUUAAAGGAU
Long non-coding RNA from Gallus gallus (chicken), 312 nucleotides. RefSeq lists it as uncharacterized. The transcript is spliced from 2 exons. The record is from RefSeq and is a predicted model, not a curated record. Lineage: Eukaryota; Metazoa; Chordata; Aves; Galliformes; Phasianidae.